Molecule: ribosomal RNA, 135 nt
Filed under: uncultured eukaryote
Lineage: Eukaryota
Description: partial 18S ribosomal RNA
Rfam family: Eukaryotic small subunit ribosomal RNA
Source: RNAcentral
UGGUGGAGUGAUCUGUCUGGUUGAUUCCGUUAACGAACGAGACUUCCGCUAUCUAAUUUGCUGAGGAUGCUUUGCAUCCAACGCUAAUUAGAGGGACUUUAUGUGCUGAGCAUAAGGAAGAGGGAGGCAAUAACA